GGGGAACGGACAGCAAUGGGGAAAACAGGGAAAUAAAGCUAAUGUGAACGCGAUACAGGGAACUUCUGUAUUGUAAGUUAUAAGUGUAGAGCGCAGAAACCAGUGUGUAACUUAUAGCACAAGAUUGUUGGCACAACAGUCAGUUAAGAGGACAAGCUGCAUACAGUGGAAACAGGAGGAAUUUCAACGCGAAGUUAUGAGACUGUUUAUAUUUGGCGCUAAGGCUAAAGCUAAGCUACUCGUAAUACAUCCAUGGUAUAGCCUCGUGUCAGUUCAUUACACAUGAGCAGAUGUGGGAUAGUUGAAGUUUAAUUUAUUCAGUUGAACGUGUUGAAGGAGCUGCUGCUUCGACCUGAAGUAAGCAAAGACUCAGACAGAGCUGAAGUAACCAGUGAGAAACCAGUGCUUUACUCUGCAUUCUUCUGGAGACGCGGGAAGAGAAAAGACAACCGACGGAGAUCGUGAUGAGAUGCUAACGUGAUGCUGAAUCUGCACCUGUGACUGCGGACAGCAGAUAGGCCAAGAACGUUAAACCAGGAGGCUUCUGUGUCACCACCGUCACACCACUCACACCUGGAAACAACAAGAUGACAUGGAGUCAAGAGAAACACACAGACUGAUGAAUCCAACAUGAGGAGGCUUCUGUGUCACCACCGUCACACCACUCACACCUGGAAACAACAAGAUGACAUGGAGUCAAGAGAAACACACAGACUGAUGAAUCCAACAUGAGAGAGCUGACACACUGACCACUUCAUUUGCAUGGAGCUAUAAAUGAAGAUUGGAGGCAUGCAGGUGCAUCCGGGGCAGAGGAAAGAGGCAGGAGAAGAGGGGGAGGUGUCGCUUCACUGACUCAGAGUGAAAACUCAUUGUCAUUUAUUACUCAUCUGUCUGAUUAUUUUAACAUCCUGAUUAUUGCAAAUGACUCAAAUAUAACCCUUGGAUUAUGUGCGUUUCAUGUUACUAACUUUUGUGUUCCCAUUCAAAACUGUUUGACCUUUGUUGGUCUAUUAUGCUCUGUGGACAGAGAAAUGUCUCACCAUUAAGUUUAUUGCCAUGCAUUUGUAACUUUGUAACUUUAUUCUCAAAAUUCAGUUUUAUCUUACUGACUCCAUUUUAGCAUUCAUUGUACUGAGUUAGCCUUACAGAUGUCCAAAAUCAAACU
This is a long non-coding RNA of Lates calcarifer (barramundi perch), 1165 nucleotides long. RefSeq lists it as uncharacterized. The record is from RefSeq and is a predicted model, not a curated record. The transcript is spliced from 4 exons. NCBI's taxonomy places the organism in Eukaryota, Metazoa, Chordata, Actinopteri, Centropomidae.